RNAcentral lists this ribosomal RNA (446 nucleotides) under uncultured bacterium. Its description in RNAcentral is "bacterial SSU rRNA". It matches the Rfam family "Bacterial small subunit ribosomal RNA", at positions 29 to 521 of the family's 1533-position model. The record is from RNAcentral.
AACGAACGCUGGCGGCAGGCCUAACACAUGCAAGUCGAACGCCGUAGCAAUACGGAGUGGCAGACGGGUGAGUAACACGUGGGAACAUACCCUUCGGUUCGGAAUAACUCAGGGAAACUUGAGCUAAUACCGGAUACGUCCGCGAGGAGAAAGAUUCAUCGCCGGAGGAUUGGCCCGCGUCUGAUUAGCUUGUUGGUGAGGUAACGGCUCACCAAGGCGACGAUCAGUAGCNGGUCUGAGAGGAUGAUCAGCCACAUUGGGACUGAGACACGGCCCAAACUCCUACGGGAGGCAGCAGUGGGGAAUAUUGGACAAUGGGCGCAAGCCUGAUCCAGCCGUGCCGCGUGAGUGAUGAAGGCCCUAGGGUUGUAAAGCUCUUUUACCCGGGAAGAUAAUGACUGUACCGGGAGAAUAAGCCCCGCUAACUUCGUGCCAGCAGCCGCUGU